AUUGAACGCUGGCGGCAUGCCUUACACAUGCAAGUCGAACGGUAACAGGUCUUCGGAUGCUGACGAGUGGCGAACGGGUGAGUAAUACAUCGGAACGUGCCUAGUAGUGGGGGAUAACUACUCGAAAGAGUGGCUAAUACCGCAUGAGAUCUACGGAUGAAAGCAGGGGAUCGCAAGACCUUGUGCUACUAGAGCGGCCGAUGGCAGAUUAGGUAGUUGGUGGGAUAAAAGCUUACCAAGCCGACGAUCUGUAGCUGGUCUGAGAGGACGAUCAGCAACACUGGGACUGGGACACAGCCCAGACUCCUACGGGAGGCAGCAGUGGGGAAUUUUGGACAAUGGGCGAAAGCCUGAUCCAGCAAUGCCGCGUGCAGGAUGAAGGCCUUCGGGUUGUAAACUGCUUUUGUACGGAACGAAAAGCCCCGGGUUAAUACCCUGGGGUCAUGACGGUACCGUAAGAAUAAGCACCGGCUAACUACGUGCCAGCCGCCGCCGUAA
This 498-nucleotide ribosomal RNA is filed under the name uncultured bacterium. RNAcentral describes it as "partial 16S ribosomal RNA". It matches the Rfam family "Bacterial small subunit ribosomal RNA", at positions 30 to 523 of the family's 1533-position model. The record is from RNAcentral.